AUUUCCUGUGCCACAGAGGACACCUUCGCAUUAGUGAGUGCAUAAGAAACAGGGAACCGGUUAGAUGGAUUGCUGCUCUCCCUCCCCUCACUGGAAGGAAAAAUAACCAGAGAUAUGAUAAUGAUGGUAAAGGCUGUAACUAUAGCAAUACGAACCUGUCAUCCCAGAGAAGCAC
Long non-coding RNA from Siniperca chuatsi (mandarin fish), 175 nucleotides. RefSeq lists it as uncharacterized. The transcript is spliced from 3 exons. NCBI's taxonomy places the organism in Eukaryota, Metazoa, Chordata, Actinopteri, Centrarchiformes, Sinipercidae. The record is from RefSeq and is a predicted model, not a curated record.